This 130-nucleotide ribosomal RNA is filed under the name uncultured bacterium. RNAcentral describes it as "partial 16S ribosomal RNA". It matches the Rfam family "Bacterial small subunit ribosomal RNA", at positions 1365 to 1501 of the family's 1533-position model. The record is from RNAcentral.
AAUACGUUCCCGGACCUUGCACACACCCGCCCCGUCAAGCCAUGGAAGCUGGGUGUACCUAAAGUCGGUAACCGCAAGGAGCUGCCUAGGGUAAAACUAGUAACUGGGGCUAAGUCGUAACAAGGUACCC